GACGAACGCUGGCGGCGUGCUUAACACAUGCAAGUCGAGCGGUAAGGCCCUUUCGGGGGUACACGAGCGGCGAACGGGUGAGUAACACGUGGGUGACCUGCCCUCAGCUCUGGGAUAAGCCUGGGAAACCGGGUCUAAUACUGGAUAUGACUCCACGACGCAUGUUGUGGGGUGGAAAGCCUUGUGCGGCUGAGGAUGGGCCCGCGGCCUAUCAGCUUGUUGGUGGGGUGAUGGCCUACCAAGGCGACGACGGGUAGCCGGCCUGAGAGGGCGACCGGCCACACUGGGACUGAGACACGGCCCAGACUCCUACGGGAGGCAGCAGUGGGGAAUCUUGCGCAAUGGGCGAAAGCCUGACGCAGCGACGCCGCGUGAGGGAUGACGGCCUCGG
RNAcentral lists this ribosomal RNA (391 nucleotides) under uncultured bacterium. Its description in RNAcentral is "bacterial SSU rRNA". It matches the Rfam family "Bacterial small subunit ribosomal RNA", at positions 28 to 420 of the family's 1533-position model. The record is from RNAcentral.